CAGCCGCCGCGGUAAGACAGAGGAUGCAAGCGUUAUCCGGAAUGAUUGGGCGUAAAGCGUCUGUAGGUGGCUUUUCAAGUCCGCCGUCAAAUCCCAGGGCUCAACCCUGGACAGGCGGUGGAAACUACCAAGCUGGAGUACGGUAGGGGCAGAGGGAAUUUCCGGUGUAGCGGUGAAAUGCGUAGAUAUCGGAAGGAACACCUGUGGCGAAAGCGGCUCACUGGACCAUUUCUGACGCUGAUGCACGAAAGCUAGGGGAGCAAACAGGAUUAGAUACCCGUGUAGUCCCUGUCUCUUAUAC
Molecule: ribosomal RNA, 301 nt
Filed under: uncultured bacterium
Lineage: Bacteria
Description: partial 16S ribosomal RNA
Rfam family: Bacterial small subunit ribosomal RNA
Source: RNAcentral